RNAcentral lists this ribosomal RNA (419 nucleotides) under Scinax x-signatus group sp. ABGD cluster 63. RNAcentral describes it as "partial large subunit ribosomal RNA". It matches the Rfam family "Bacterial large subunit ribosomal RNA", at positions 1838 to 2458 of the family's 2925-position model. The record is from RNAcentral. Lineage: Eukaryota; Metazoa; Chordata; Amphibia; Anura; Hylidae.
AGUAAAAAUAAGAGGUCCAGCCUGCCCAGUGACAAAUGUUCAACGGCCGCGGUAUCCUAACCGUGCGAAGGUAGCGUAAUCACUUGUUCUUUAAAUGAGGACUAGUAUGAAUGGCACCACGAGGGUCGCACUGUCUCCUUCCCCUAAUCAAUGAAACUAAUCUUCCCGUGAAGAAGCGGGAAUUUAUCUAUAAGACGAGAAGACCCUAUGGAGCUUUAAAUUUCUCUUCAAACGCCAGACAUAAACCCUAAACAUCUUACACCAACCCGGCGCCAUGAAGAUGAAUUUUAGGUUGGGGUGACCACGGAGAACAAGACAACCUCCACGCUGAAUAGGCCUAAAACCUUGAACUAAGGACCACAGCCCGACGAACUAAAAAAUUAACACCCAUUGACCCAAUUCUUUUUGAUCAACGAACC